This 472-nucleotide ribosomal RNA is filed under the name uncultured bacterium. Its description in RNAcentral is "bacterial SSU rRNA". It matches the Rfam family "Bacterial small subunit ribosomal RNA", at positions 329 to 793 of the family's 1533-position model. The record is from RNAcentral.
CUACGCACUCCUACGGGAGGCAGCAGUGGGGAAUAUUGCUACAAUGGGCGCAAGCCUGAUGCAGCCAUGCCGCGUGUAUGAAGAAGGCCUUCGGGUUGUAAAGUACUUUCAGCAGUGAGGAAGGUGGAUAUGUUAAUAGCAUAUUCAUUUGACGUUAGCUGCAGAAGAAGCACCGGCUAACUCCGUGCCAGCAGCCGCGGUAAUACGGAGGGUGCGAGCGUUAAUCGGAAUUACUGGGCGUAAAGCGCAUGCAGGUGGUUUGUUAAGUCAGAUGUGAAAGCCCGGGGCUCAACCUCGGAAUUGCAUUUGAAACUGGCAAACUAGAGUACUGUAGAGGGGGUAGAAUUUCAGGUGUAGCGGUGAAAUGCGUAGAGAUCUGAAGGAAUACCGGUGGCGAAGGCGGCCCCCUGGACAGAUACUGACACUCAGAUGCGAAAGCGUGGGGAGCAAACAGGAUUAGAUACCCUGGUAG